RNAcentral lists this ribosomal RNA (253 nucleotides) under uncultured bacterium. RNAcentral describes it as "partial 16S ribosomal RNA". It matches the Rfam family "Bacterial small subunit ribosomal RNA", at positions 524 to 776 of the family's 1533-position model. The record is from RNAcentral.
UACGUAGGGUGCGAGCGUGGUCCGGAUUUAUUGGGCGUAAAGAGCUCGUAGGCGGUUUGUCGCGUCGGCCGUGAAAUCUCCACGCUUAACGUGGAGCGUGCGGUCGAUACGGGCAGACUUGAGUUCGGUAGGGGAGACUGGAAUUCCUGGUGUAGCGGUGAAAUGCGCAGAUAUCAGGAGGAACACCGGUGGCGAAGGCGGGUCUCUGGGCCGAUACUGACGCUGAGGAGCGAAAGCGUGGGGAGCGAACAGG